This 264-nucleotide ribosomal RNA is filed under the name uncultured archaeon. RNAcentral describes it as "partial 16S ribosomal RNA". It matches the Rfam family "Archaeal small subunit ribosomal RNA", at positions 716 to 982 of the family's 1478-position model. The record is from RNAcentral.
AGUCACUGACAUUAGAUACCCGCGUAGUCCCAGCCGUAAACUAUGUGCGUUAGGUGUGUCGGUAACCACGCGUUACUGAUGCGCCGAAGAGAAAUCGUGAAACGCACCACCUGGGAAGUACGGUCGCAAGGCUGAAACUUAAAGGAAUUGGCGGGGAGCACCACAACAGGUGGAGCCUGCGGUUUAAUUGGAUUCAACGCCGGACAUCUCACCGGAUAAGACAGCUGAAUGAUUGUCAAUCUGAAGGUUUUACAUGACUAGCUG